Molecule: ribosomal RNA, 253 nt
Filed under: uncultured bacterium
Lineage: Bacteria
Description: partial 16S ribosomal RNA
Rfam family: Bacterial small subunit ribosomal RNA
Source: RNAcentral
UACGGGGGGGGCAAGCGUUGUUCGGAAUUACUGGGCGUAAAGGGCGCGUAGGCGGCCUUCUAAGUCGGAUGUGAAAUCCCUCGGCUCAACCGAGGACGUGCACCCGAAACUGGCGGGCUCGAGUAUGGAAGAGGGUCGCGGAAUUCCCGGUGUAGAGGUGAAAUUCGUAGAUAUCGGGAGGAACACCAGUGGCGAAGGCGGCGACCUGGGCCAAUACUGACGCUGAGGUGCGAAAGCGUGGGGAGCAAACAGG